CGGCCUCAGAUUGGUAGGACUACCCGCUGAACUUAAGCAUAUCAAUAAGCGGAGGAAAAGAAACUAACAAGGAUUCCCCUAGUAACGGCGAGUGAAGAGGGAAGAGCCCAAGAUUGAAAGCUGGCGUCUUCGGCGUCCGCAUUGUAAUCUCAAGAAGUGUUUUCCGCUUCGGACCAUGCCUAAGUCCCUUGGAAAAGGGCAUCAUAGAGGGUGAUAAUCCCGUACAUGGCAUGGAGCGCCCGAAGCUUUGUGAUACACUUUCUAAGAGUCGAGUUGUUUGGGAAUGCAGCUCAAAAUGGGUGGUAAAUGCCAUCUAAGGCUAAAUAUUGGGGAGAGACCGAUAGCGAACAAGUACAGUGAUGGAAAGAUGAAAAGAACUUUGAAAAGAGAGUUAAACAGUACGUGAAAUUGCCAAAAGGGAAGGGUAGGAGGUCAGAGAUGCGGCCUGGGAUUCAGCCUUGCUUUUGCUUGGUGUUUUUCCCAGUUUGCAGGCCAACGUCGGUUUUGGGCACUGGAGAAUGGUGGGAGGAACGUGGCACUCUUCGGGGUGUGUUAUAGCCUCCUACUGGAUACAGCGACCGGGACCGAGGACAGCAGCGUACUCGCAAGAGCGGGCCUUCGGGCACCUUUACGCUUAGGGCGUUGGCAUAAUGGCCCUCUACCA
Molecule: ribosomal RNA, 664 nt
Filed under: Ustilago esculenta
Lineage: Eukaryota; Fungi; Basidiomycota; Ustilaginomycetes; Ustilaginales; Ustilaginaceae
Description: eukaryotic LSU rRNA
Rfam family: Eukaryotic large subunit ribosomal RNA
Source: RNAcentral